AAAUCCUCCGAGGCCUUGGUAUGGAGCCAGAGGAGGAAGUUUGACAUGGCCUCUGGUUACCAGCUCCACCUCUGAACCCACUGGCCCAGGAUGACUUAUGUGAUCUGGGAACCUGAUCCUUUUGUCUUGUGGCUCUACCAUCUUCAACAUUUGGCUUCUGAAGUCACCCUGAAUGUGCGCACACAAGGAUGGAAAACAGCACAGAGAAAGGCAGAAGGU
Molecule: long non-coding RNA, 219 nt
Filed under: Homo sapiens (human)
Lineage: Eukaryota; Metazoa; Chordata; Mammalia; Primates; Hominidae
Description: HSALNT0326680
Source: RNAcentral